This 1371-nucleotide long non-coding RNA is filed under the name Triticum aestivum (bread wheat). Its description in RNAcentral is "long non-coding RNA (TAES_LNC020564)". The record is from RNAcentral. Lineage: Eukaryota; Viridiplantae; Streptophyta; Magnoliopsida; Poales; Poaceae.
UGGUAUUUUUGCUCGACUCAAGUGCCCGCUUUGGGCAACUAGAUGAUAUAAGUUCAUGUUGUGGAUAGGUGAUGGAUAAAAUGGUGCUAAUUACAGCAGUUCAAAGAUUCUUUUUAACACUACUGUAGCACUUCAAAUAAUGUUUUUGGGCGACAAUGUUUAUGCUUUUUUGUAUUACAAGUUACAAAAGUGUUGGACUUAUCAGUUGUGACCUACUUUGGUUCUGAGAAAGAGCUCCUCAAAUGCAUGUCACAUGUUUUUGCUUGAGCUGGCCUUAACUUCUAGUUCUGUUUGCACUCUAUGAUGGCAACGUGUUCUAGUGCAAGUCUACUAAUAUAUCAUCUUUAUUUUGGCUCUACAAUGGUUGCAAACCAGAAAUGUUCUCCACCUCAAACGUACUCCAUUCUUCCAUUUUUAUAGCUAUUUUAUUUUGUUCCUUGUUCACUCGCAACCCACUGUUAGUUCACUCGCAAACUGCAAUAGCGGCCACAACUAAGGGCAUUUGCUUCCAGCACAGGAGCUACAUGCUCGACGGUUGCGCACUGCCGCCAUGGACAUGCACAAAGAUAUUAAGUACAAGUAUGUUAGUUAAGUUUUUUACUAUUGAUUUACCUUGUUUAAGUAGUAGUGCAGCAAAAAAUGGUGUAGUUGUACUGAAGUUUUAGUUGCUAUAUGGGGAACCUGGGGGCCAUUUAUUUUGGUUUUCAGUUCAACUUUUCUGUUCUUUUCAAUCCUAUGCUUUAUUGUGCACAAUCUUGAGGAAAUCCCCAAAAAUCAUGUGUGCACUCAAGGUAGUUAAGCGCCUUUGUAAAAUUUUGACAGUCCAUCCCAGACUAAGCAAACAGUACAUGUUAGUCUUGGUUUGUGGUUAGACAUGCAAACAAUACAUGUGUGUACCGUUGCUCUUGCUUAUUAAAGCCUGCAUCGAUAGUUAAUCUUGAACUGGAUGUUUUAUUCUAUGUUAGGUGAAUGAAGCCGUGGUGCCAGCAGCCACCUGCGCUACAGAAUGCAAGUGUUUGCAGUUUGCUCACCAGAAUGUUGAAUGAGACUACAUCAUUAUUACUCAAAAAAUUCAUUUUGCAUUUGUUCAGAAUUGUUCUCUGUAUCCGUGGCAAAUAAUGUUUUUUUUUCUGGUUUAAUGCAAUACUCCUGUGGAAGCACUAAAACACGCUACCUGUUGAACUGAUGCUGAAGACAAGGAGCAGGACCAAGUGUGCUGGAAGUAUUUUUGUACCCAUGUGUAACAUCCUCGAUGUGACUAUAUCUCCCACGUGUCGAGGCACGACUUAGAGGUAUAAUCGCAUUGAAGGCAUAUGUCGUAAAUUAGGCAGUCUUCACAACAUCCCAUGUAAUAUAAAUCAUAAAGGGGAG